GUGGACUACCAGGGUAUCUAAUCCUGUUUGCUCCCCACGCUUUCGUGCAACAGCGUCAGUAACUGCCCAGAUAACCGCUUUCGCCUCCGGUGUUCCUCCUAAUAUCUACGAAUUUCACCCCUACACUAGGAAUUCCGCUAUCCCCUACAGUACUCAAGCCUAGCAGUUUCAAAAGCAAUUCUUAGGUUAAGCCCAAGGCUUUCACUUUUGACUUACUAAGCAGCCUACGCACGCUUUACGCCCAAUAAUUCCGAGUAACGCUAGCCCCCUUCGUAUUACCGCGGCUGCUGGCACGAAGUUAGCCGGGACUUCUU
This 314-nucleotide ribosomal RNA is filed under the name Candidatus Midichloria mitochondrii. RNAcentral's name for it is "partial 16S ribosomal RNA". RNAcentral also lists the same sequence under 1 other name. The record is from RNAcentral. Lineage: Bacteria; Pseudomonadati; Pseudomonadota; Alphaproteobacteria; Rickettsiales; Candidatus Midichloriaceae.